AUUGAACGCUGGCGGCAGGCCUAACACAUGCAGGUCGAGCGGAUGAAGGGAGCUUGCUCCUGGAUUCAGCGGCGGACGGGUGAGUAAUGCCUAGGAAUCUGCCUGGUAGUGGGGGAUAACGUCCGGAAACGGGCGCUAAUACCGCAUACGUCCUGAGGGAGAAAGUGGGGGAUCUUCGGACCUCACGCUAUCAGAUGAGCCUAGGUCGGAUUAGCUAGUUGGUGGGGUAAAGGCCUACCAAGGCGACGAUCCGUAACUGGUCUGAGAGGAUGAUCAGUCACACUGGAACUGAGACACGGUCCAGACUCCUACGGGAGGCAGCAGUGGGGAAUAUUGGACAAUGGGCGAAAGCCUGAUCCAGCCAUGCCGCGUGUGUGAAGAAGGUCUUCGGAUUGUAAAGCACUUUAAGUUGGGAGGAAGGGCAGUAAGUUAAUACCUUGCUGUUUUGACGUUACCAACAGAAUAAGCACCGGCUAACUUCGU
RNAcentral lists this ribosomal RNA (483 nucleotides) under uncultured bacterium. RNAcentral describes it as "partial 16S ribosomal RNA". It matches the Rfam family "Bacterial small subunit ribosomal RNA", at positions 30 to 506 of the family's 1533-position model. The record is from RNAcentral.